GGGAGCCCGAGGGGUGGAAGCCGGCGGCGGCCGAGCGGGGUCAGUUCUCUGUAGUGUUUGCCAAUGUUGGAGCCGUCUGCAAAGUGUCCCCGGCAAGAAGAGGCUGCCUACCACAAGGAAUUUAGCUUACUUUUUAAAGAUUGAAGAAAAAAAAGAAGACAGAAAAAGAAGAACUCAAAGAUACACAAAGUAAUUUGAACCAAGGCUCAGAAGUUUUUGGAGCCGUGAGGGAUACAGCAGUUUGGUCAAUAUUGUCUUAACAUGCUUCAAAUAAAUCAGCCUUUUUAUUUACAGCUUCUCUCCAAGAUAAAAUGGCAAACCCAAAAGAGAAAACUGCAAUGUGUCUGGUAAAUGAGUUAGCCCGUUUCAAUAGAGUCCAACCCCAGUAUAAACUUCUGAAUGAAAGAGGGCCUGCUCAUUCAAAGGCAGUAUAACUCCAACUGUGGAACUGAAUGGGCUUGCUAUGAAAAGGGGAGAGCCUGCCAUCUACAGGCCAUUAGAUCCAAAGCCAUUCCCAAAUUAUAGAGCUAAUUACAACUUUCGGGGCAUGUACAAUCAGAGCCUCACGUGAUCACCACUCAGAUCGAGAUACAGAGUGUUCCCAUCACCUCUGAGAGUUUCCUCAGACCUCUUUGUCCUUGACACAUCCUUCUCCCAGAAAUAAUCACUAUUUUAUUAUCAUAGACUAGUUUUUGCCUGUUGUUGAACUUUUUAUAUCUAGACUCAUACAGUAUUUAUGUGCAUCUGGCUUCUUUUACUUUGUAUAAUGAUUUUCUUGUUUGGGGAUUCAUCCAUGUUGCUUAUAUC
RNAcentral lists this small RNA (807 nucleotides) under Pan troglodytes (chimpanzee). RNAcentral describes it as "processed transcript". Lineage: Eukaryota; Metazoa; Chordata; Mammalia; Primates; Hominidae. The record is from RNAcentral.